This 855-nucleotide ribosomal RNA is filed under the name Lactiplantibacillus plantarum. RNAcentral's name for it is "bacterial SSU rRNA". It matches the Rfam family "Bacterial small subunit ribosomal RNA", at positions 64 to 904 of the family's 1533-position model. The record is from RNAcentral. Lineage: Bacteria; Bacillati; Bacillota; Bacilli; Lactobacillales; Lactobacillaceae.
GGUGCUUGCAUCAUGAUUUACAUUUGAGUGAGUGGCGAACUGGUGAGUAACACGUGGGAAACCUGCCCAGAAGCGGGGGAUAACACCUGGAAACAGAUGCUAAUACCGCAUAACAACUUGGACCGCAUGGUCCGAGUUUGAAAGAUGGCUUCGGCUAUCACUUUUGGAUGGUCCCGCGGCGUAUUAGCUAGAUGGUGGGGUAACGGCUCACCAUGGCAAUGAUACGUAGCCGACCUGAGAGGGUAAUCGGCCACAUUGGGACUGAGACACGGCCCAAACUCCUACGGGAGGCAGCAGUAGGGAAUCUUCCACAAUGGACGAAAGUCUGAUGGAGCAACGCCGCGUGAGUGAAGAAGGGUUUCGGCUCGUAAAACUCUGUUGUUAAAGAAGAACAUAUCUGAGAGUAACUGUUCAGGUAUUGACGGUAUUUAACCAGAAAGCCACGGCUAACUACGUGCCAGCAGCCGCGGUAAUACGUAGGUGGCAAGCGUUGUCCGGAUUUAUUGGGCGUAAAGCGAGCGCAGGCGGUUUUUUAAGUCUGAUGUGAAAGCCUUCGGCUCAACCGAAGAAGUGCAUCGGAAACUGGGAAACUUGAGUGCAGAAGAGGACAGUGGAACUCCAUGUGUAGCGGUGAAAUGCGUAGAUAUAUGGAAGAACACCAGUGGCGAAGGCGGCUGUCUGGUCUGUAACUGACGCUGAGGCUCGAAAGUAUGGGUAGCAAACAGGAUUAGAUACCCUGGUAGUCCAUACCGUAAACGAUGAAUGCUAAGUGUUGGAGGGUUUCCGCCCUUCAGUGCUGCAGCUAACGCAUUAAGCAUUCCGCCUGGGGAGUACGGCCGCAAGGCUGAAACUCAA